GCCAUAGUAGCUCUGGGAACUGAAUCUCGGGGACCAGGAACAGUCUCGCAUGUCAUUGUAAUCUGGAUUCAUGAACUCUGACUUUCCACAGUCUUUGAGUCACUGAGCACCAGGAUCAACUUUCACAGAGGAUCCAGAUAAUCAGCCAGCUUGAGUCACACUCCUGCAGCUUGGCUAGGGUAGGGAUUCCUGACCAACAGUCCCAUAAGAUCUUAUCCAGUCAGGAGGUACUGGACCAAUCUGAAGUGCAGCCAAGACCGGGAGCCACAGACCUGGAACCUGGGUACUCAAAGAGUUGUCCACGUGCCAGCAGCACUGGCCCCUCCAGGAGCUUGUUAGAAAUGUAGAACCUCAGAGCCUACAUUAAAGAUAUUGAAUCGGAGUCUGCACGUCACAUCUGAGAAGCCAUGAGCUAAGCUGAUGCCAUUCAGCUGGGUAGCAUCGCAGUCACUGUGCAACUUUUAAACCUACAGCUGCCCAGGCCCACUGCAGACCUGCUAAAUUCGAGCUCCUUGUAGUGGGGCCAGGGCCCUGGGACUUCACACAAAACUCUGCAAGUCAUCACUGAUGAGAAAACCAAGACUCGAUGAGAGUCUCCUGAGCUCGGGGGAAGAAGCUGCAUAACCGGCACACUUCCAGAAAGGACCGAGGAAGAGAGCGUCGCUUCAGCUAGGGAUCUGAUUAGUCAUGCCUGGUAGGCUCUGCUGAGCUGGGGGCUCUUGGGUUUUGCUUGUUGAGCUGAAUUAAUAUAUUAAUGGAUUUCA
RNAcentral lists this long non-coding RNA (764 nucleotides) under Homo sapiens (human). Its description in RNAcentral is "non-protein coding LINC01444:1". Lineage: Eukaryota; Metazoa; Chordata; Mammalia; Primates; Hominidae. The record is from RNAcentral.